This 1478-nucleotide ribosomal RNA is filed under the name Bacillus pumilus. RNAcentral describes it as "16S ribosomal RNA". It matches the Rfam family "Bacterial small subunit ribosomal RNA". The record is from RNAcentral. Lineage: Bacteria; Bacillati; Bacillota; Bacilli; Caryophanales; Bacillaceae.
UCAGGACGAACGCUGGCGGCGUGCCUAAUACAUGCAAGUCGAGCGGACAGAAGGGAGCUUGCUCCCGGAUGUUAGCGGCGGACGGGUGAGUAACACGUGGGUAACCUGCCUGUAAGACUGGGAUAACUCCGGGAAACCGGAGCUAAUACCGGAUAGUUCCUUGAACCGCAUGGUUCAAGGAUGAAAGACGGUUUCGGCUGUCACUUACAGAUGGACCCGCGGCGCAUUAGCUAGUUGGUGGGGUAAUGGCUCACCAAGGCGACGAUGCGUAGCCGACCUGAGAGGGUGAUCGGCCACACUGGGACUGAGACACGGCCCAGACUCCUACGGGAGGCAGCAGUAGGGAAUCUUCCGCAAUGGACGAAAGUCUGACGGAGCAACGCCGCGUGAGUGAUGAAGGUUUUCGGAUCGUAAAGCUCUGUUGUUAGGGAAGAACAAGUGCGAGAGUAACUGCUCGCACCUUGACGGUACCUAACCAGAAAGCCACGGCUAACUACGUGCCAGCAGCCGCGGUAAUACGUAGGUGGCAAGCGUUGUCCGGAAUUAUUGGGCGUAAAGGGCUCGCAGGCGGUUUCUUAAGUCUGAUGUGAAAGCCCCCGGCUCAACCGGGGAGGGUCAUUGGAAACUGGGAAACUUGAGUGCAGAAGAGGAGAGUGGAAUUCCACGUGUAGCGGUGAAAUGCGUAGAGAUGUGGAGGAACACCAGUGGCGAAGGCGACUCUCUGGUCUGUAACUGACGCUGAGGAGCGAAAGCGUGGGGAGCGAACAGGAUUAGAUACCCUGGUAGUCCACGCCGUAAACGAUGAGUGCUAAGUGUUAGGGGGUUUCCGCCCCUUAGUGCUGCAGCUAACGCAUUAAGCACUCCGCCUGGGGAGUACGGUCGCAAGACUGAAACUCAAAGGAAUUGACGGGGGCCCGCACAAGCGGUGGAGCAUGUGGUUUAAUUCGAAGCAACGCGAAGAACCUUACCAGGUCUUGACAUCCUCUGACAACCCUAGAGAUAGGGCUUUCCCUUCGGGGACAGAGUGACAGGUGGUGCAUGGUUGUCGUCAGCUCGUGUCGUGAGAUGUUGGGUUAAGUCCCGCAACGAGCGCAACCCUUGAUCUUAGUUGCCAGCAUUCAGUUGGGCACUCUAAGGUGACUGCCGGUGACAAACCGGAGGAAGGUGGGGAUGACGUCAAAUCAUCAUGCCCCUUAUGACCUGGGCUACACACGUGCUACAAUGGACAGAACAAAGGGCUGCAAGACCGCAAGGUUUAGCCAAUCCCAUAAAUCUGUUCUCAGUUCGGAUCGCAGUCUGCAACUCGACUGCGUGAAGCUGGAAUCGCUAGUAAUCGCGGAUCAGCAUGCGCGGGUGUGAUAUACGUUCCCGGGCCUUGUACACACCGCCCGUCACACCACGAGAGUUUGCAACACCCGAAGUCGGUGAGGUAACCUUUAUGGAGCCAGCCGCCGAAGUGGGGCAGAUGAUUGGGGUGA